This 210-nucleotide unclassified non-coding RNA is filed under the name fungal sp. RNAcentral describes it as "partial internal transcribed spacer region". The stretch from base 1 to 46 matches the Rfam family "Eukaryotic small subunit ribosomal RNA", at positions 1786 to 1831 of the family's 1831-position model. The record is from RNAcentral. Lineage: Eukaryota; Fungi.
AAGUCGUAACAAGGUUUCCGUAGGUGAACCUGCGGAAGGAUCAUUACCGUUGGAGCUUGCUCCAUCUGGGAUAGAACCCUUGAUUUUGAGUACCUUUUCGUUUCCUCGACGGGUCCGCCCGCCGGUGGACAACCAAAACUCUUUGUAAUAGCAGUAUCUUCUGAAAUAAACAAAUAGUCAAAACUUUCAACAACGGAUCUCUUGGUUCUG